Molecule: long non-coding RNA, 3790 nt
Filed under: Canis lupus familiaris (dog)
Lineage: Eukaryota; Metazoa; Chordata; Mammalia; Carnivora; Canidae
Description: lncRNA (ENSCAFG00040010613.1)
Source: RNAcentral
GCAUGACCUCAGUUGGUGUCAAGAUUUCAAAAGCCCAUGUAAUACGUCACACAUUCCUGACUCAAAAUCCUUGCCUACCAUGUAAAGGGGUUUGCACGUUACAAAGAGCCUGGAAGAAACGGCCGGGGCACACUCUGAAGAUUUCCCUAAAAUGAAGCUCUCGGUAAGAUAAAAGAACGCCUGCCUCUUUCAUCACGGACAUGUAGAGAGAGAGUGGAUCUGGAAAACAAAUUUAUACUUUUUCUGGAAAUGGGAAUCACUCAUAAAACACUUCAUGAGUUCAAGGUCCCCUUGUUGCCAUUGUGCCUCCUAUUCAUAUGGACUGUGAACAACCCAGAGGUAGUUGGACUAGUGGCAUGUUAUUGGAUGACUCUGCUUCAAAUUUGAAGAAUUUAUGAAAACUCUGAGUGCCAGACAAAAAUAGACAUUAAAAGGGUGUCGGAGUGCAAAGCUCAUUGAAACAACCCCCAGAUGGUUGGAUUUUACUCUAAAAACAAUUCCUGAUAAGAAAAAGACUAACUGAUGUUUUGAUGUCUCAGAAAGGGGCAUCUUUUUAUUUUCAAGUCUUCCUGCUACUAAGGGCAUACUGAUCUCUAGGCGUCUACUUUGGGAUACCUAUUCCCAAACUGCCUAUCAUCUCUUCACUCUUAGGUGGCUCAGCACCAGGUCCUGGAGAACAAGAUGUGAGUUUCUCACCCUUUUGGCUCUUCCAUUACCUCUGCUCCCUAAAACCAUGGCUGCCCAGUAUACUCUGCCUCCUUAUCCUUUAUUUUUUCUGAAAGAUAUUUUUAAAAGAUUCUUAUUUAUUUAUUUAUUUAUUUAUUUAUUUAUUUAUUUAUUUAUUUAUGAGAGAGAGAGACACACACCACAGGCAGCGGGAGAAGCAGGCUCCAUGCAGGGAGCCCGACAUGGGACUUGAUCCCGGGUCUCCAGGGUCAUGCCCUGGGCUGAAGGCAGUGCUAAACCGCUGAGCCACCUGGGCUGCCCUCUGCCUCCUUAUCAACCACAACCAAAGCACCUUCCAUUUGAUAGUUAUUUGAUAGGUAAUGCUUCUGCUCUCCCUCAAAAAAGACUAACUAACAUGAAAAAAAAAAAGGUAUGCUAACAUGAAAACAAAAAAGUGCAAGUUGUCAGGAAAAUUUGAGGAGCCAAAAAUCCUCCCCAUUCCAGGUAAAGAAUAUUUUAAUAAAGGACUCGAUAAAAUAAUGCCAUUUUCUCAUUCUUUUGUUUCCUAAAAUUUAGUCAUUCCCAUGCAAUAUUCGGUAUUUUCGCCCUAUAUCUAUUACUUUUUUAAUAUUAUUUUAAACUGACUUUUAAAGUUUGCAUGGAUUUUAAUGAAAAGGAAACUUUAAAUCACUCCCGUAAAUGGAAAACCAAUAUUGUUUUCCUUAAGUAGAAGAUAUUACAGUCAAUAGAGUAACACAUGCCAUUGAAGUUUAACUAGUUUAAUGUGACAUGCUCAGGGCUUCGAGCCUGAGGUUUAUUCUUUUUAUUAAAAAGGAGUAUUAGUAAGAGUUAGGAAUUCAGGUAGUAUUAGAACCAAAUUGAGAAAUUCCCCUUGAUUUUACCCACAAAGAGUAGUAGAAAAAAUUUAAAAAGGGAAUAUUCCUCUUAAUACUAAGUUCUAUAUUCGAUUUUCUGUCCAUAUAUCAUUUAAAAAAGGAUGAGAUUAAUAUUCAGCAAUUACAGUACAUAAUUAAAGAGAAAAAUGAAACAAACUGUUUCUGCAGGCACAGUCUGCCUCACACUGAUCAUCCCCACAAGACUCUAAGUGAUACAAUUUUCAAGUUAGAAAUGGAAGAACAAAAUCUAAGGUGUUCUAGCGAAGAUCUCACCCCUUCACAUUAGCCCCAUCCUCAGUUGGAGAGAAGGUUCAGAGAGAAGUAACUCUCUCAUUCUUUUGUGUGUGUUAUUUCAGCUGUUUCUGAGCAAACUGGAGACCCUGGAAAACUGACAAGAAGAUGGAACAUAGGGGAUGCAACACUCAAAACUCAGGGAAAUGUGUUGUGCACCUAUUAAACAUAAGAUCUUUCAGUUCUAAUGUGAGGUUAGCUCUAUGUGAAGUUCUUUGUAUUGAUUUGUAAGUUGUGGAACUAACUUGUCUUUCCCUCUUGAAAUCCCACAAAAAUCAGUUGGUUAAAAUACAGAUCAUGUUCUAAAAGACAGUUUAUAGGGAUAUAAAAUGCUGGGACAACCAGAAAUCCCACAUUUUAGAUGUCAGGGCAUUUGAUCCAUUUCUGUGAAGCCCUUUGACUGAUUGAAUGUCUAACUUUGUAAAUUUAAGUGCCUUUUACUCUGGAGAUCUGUAGUUCUUCUUUCAAAAAAUCUUUUUAAGAAAUUGAGAAUUCUCUGAGUUGCUUGACCCUAGUUGAAGUCCAUGGGGCAAUCCAGGUUCUAGCCUUCACUCUAUAAAUGUUAAAUUUAUAACAACUUUCCGUCAUGGGUGCGACUAUGAAUAGUACGAUUUGGGGAUCGUGAAUUUAUGAAUGAACAGGCAGCUUUGAACUCCUGACGGGAGCAAGCACCAUAUGCCAUUCAAAGGUAAUUUUCCUUAGAUUUACAUUUCAUUUAUUCAUCCUGUGCCUCUAAUGCCAAGUGCUGUGUCAGGUCUUGAAAGGAAACAUAACAGUGAAUAGCAGUCCAGAGAAAGAACGAUAAAGCUGACAAAUGGUAGCCUCUUCAAUAAAUCACAGGUUCCACGGAGAGAAGUUGACUGUCAAGCCUACACAUUAGAAAAAGAAAUGUAAGAGGAGGAAAAGAAAACAAUAGAAAGAAACUUGCAAUGACUCAGUGAAUGAGAAAAGUCCAUCACAGGGAAUCCUGAAAAUACAAUAACAAUUAUCAUCAAAUUUUAUGAAGCAAAACUUUAAGAAAUGUUUGCUAAACAGGUCUGAAAAAAAUAAGAAUGGAAAUUAUGUAUAGUGAAGAGAAAAGAGACAAUGUCAGCCUAGGAUUCAAAAAUGUCAAGGUUGGGCAUUUUCAAACAAGGUGGAAUUGAAGUAGGAAGUUGAUGCGUACAAGGGUGGCUAAAGAGGUGGGAGGCAAGAAGGUCCCAAUACAUGCAUAUUCAAAGAGUGACGAGUUACAUUUUCUUGUUCCGUUUUGCUUUAGGAAAAUUCCCACCUUGUCCAGGUUUUGUGGUGUUUGAUUUUUAAAGAUUUAGGGACACCUGGGUGACACAGUGGUUGAGUGUCUGCCUUCGGCUCAGGGCGUGAUCCCGGGGUCCUGGGAUGAGUCCCACAUCGGGCUCCCCACAGGGAACCUGCUUCUCCCUUCUCCCUCUGCCUAUGUUACUGCCUCUCUCUGUGUCUCUCAUGAAUAAGUAAAAUCUUAAAAAAAGAUUAAAGAUUUAGUGCAGCUUUCUUUAAGAGGAAAAAUUCAAAUAUUAUAAAUAGAAAAUUAAGCACGGGACGUUAGAUGUUGUCUUUGACAUUAAGGAGCCCUGUUAUGUAAGCUUCAUUAACCUCACAGUACAUCUGUCUCUGGUCCCCUUUGGAGACUGGUACCCUUUGUGACCGGGAAGAUAAGGUGGACUUUGGGCUGCGGCAUGGGGCAGGUGGCCUAUGAUUCAUCUUCUUGCAUGAGGUGACUUGGGUCAGUGUAUCCUCAGCACUAGAAUGGUAAAUGAGAGAGAGCUGUGAACCUGGAGUGGGCUUAGAAGAUAAAGGAGUUAUUUCUGGUGGAAGUAGUGAUUAUUGUAUUUUAGAAGUGUGCAGGGAUCAGUGAAGCCCCUCCUUUGUCUCAUCUGAGUGGCCAGAUAUACUAGAGAGCGUGCUGGGUACUUGGGAUA